GGGUAGCGGAGAAAUUCCAAUCGAACCUGGAGAUAGCUGGUUCUCUCCGAAAUAGCUUUAGGGCUAGCCUCAAGUGAUGAUUAUUGGAGGUAGAGCACUGUUUGGACGAGGGGCCCCUCUCGGGUUACCGAAUUCAGACAAACUCCGAAUGCCAAUUAAUUUAACUUGGGAGUCAGAACAUGGGUGAUAAGGUCCGUGUUCGAAAGGGAAACAGCCCAGACCACCAGCUAAGGUCCCAAAAUAUAUGUUAAGUGGAAAAGGAUGUGGCGUUGCCCAGACAACUAGGAUGUUGGCUUAGAAGCAGCCAUCAUUUAAAGAGUGCGUAAUAGCUCACUAGUCGAGUGACACUGCGCCGAAAAUGUACCGGGGCUAAACAUAUUACCGAAGCUGUGGAUUGUCCUUUGGACAAUGGUAGGAGAGCGUUCUAAGGGCGUUGAAGCAUGAUCGUAAGGACAUGUGGAGCGCUUAGAAGUGAGAAUGCCGGUGUGAGUAGCGAAAGACGGGUGAGAAUCCCGUCCACCGAUUGACUAAGGUUUCCAGAGGAAGGCUCGUCCGCUCUGGGUUAGUCGGGUCCUAAGCUGAGGCCGA
RNAcentral lists this ribosomal RNA (588 nucleotides) under Staphylococcus aureus. RNAcentral's name for it is "partial 23S ribosomal RNA". It matches the Rfam family "Bacterial large subunit ribosomal RNA", at positions 813 to 1405 of the family's 2925-position model. Lineage: Bacteria; Bacillati; Bacillota; Bacilli; Caryophanales; Staphylococcaceae. The record is from RNAcentral.